Long non-coding RNA from Crotalus tigris (Tiger rattlesnake), 1724 nucleotides. RefSeq lists it as uncharacterized. Lineage: Eukaryota; Metazoa; Chordata; Lepidosauria; Squamata; Viperidae. The record is from RefSeq and is a predicted model, not a curated record. The transcript has 4 exons.
CCUCAGUGCUGGGGGAAGCAGCGGUUCGCACAUGCUCAAUCGCACAGUGAAGCCCUGGCGAAGCAUCUGCCCUGCACCGGCCAUCGAUCUGGGUGUUGUUCCUAAGGAAUUAAGGCGUGGAGAAAUUUAGGUCGCCGCGCAGCGAGGAAAGGAUAGCUACGGCAAUAAGUAACGAAGUCAGCUGCUGGCUGUCAGGGGACUAGUUGGGCAGGGGAGUCAGAAAAACAAUGCCUAGAAGGGUUGUGCGUCGAAUUUCAGGAACAGAAAAAUAAAGGAACAGUGGGACACAAGAAAAACUAUUAAGAGUGAGAAUUAAAUAUUCGAGCUUGUAUGUUAUUGUGCCGUUACUUUAAAAGUGUUGAAAGAAAAAUCUUCAGGUCCAGUCUAAACUGGGAAUAAGAAAAAGGAGACUGCUUUAGGAAAGAAGGUCGGAUAUUGAGUUACCAGAAAUUUCAGUGAUAACAGCAUCUGUGUUCCUGCAUUGGCUGACAAAAUGGAGCUGGGAGUGGUGGGUUUUUAUACCUUCUUGGGCUUUUGUGUUUGGAGUUGUUCCUGUUCCUGUGGCAUGAACUUUGACCCAGGCCUGAGUAUGCUCUUCUGGGUUAAUGAUGGGUUAAUCCUAUUAUGUCUUGAAGGUCACGUCCUGCUUCUUGGGCUGUGGCUGAUGACUAUGUCCUUUGUUGGAUUUUUGGAUGAGGGGUUGCUGGUUCUAAUCUUAUCAUUCAUGGCUAUCAAAUCUUGCUCCAAGGGAUUUCGAAAGAUACUGUCUUGAAUGGGCUUCUGCAGUGGGCUAGAAUUUCUACCAACAGUUUUGGCGCCCAAUGUGGGGCUCGAGACCGGGAUCGUUUGUCUGCACCAGAUCCAGAAGGUGACAUGGAAGGCAUGCCCUGUCGAUUUCAACAGUCUAUCUCAUCUUGUUGGUAAAGGAGCAGCAAUGCUUUCCUCGGCGAACCAAUAGAGUUGAUAUUAGACAGAGAUACGAAUUGAACCGGUGUGUGUGUUGCUGGCUUCCGGGAACUGGGCAACUCUGUGCACGGACCUAGCCGGCUGUAUUGCUUUAAGAGCGAGAAAGACAGAAAAGAAAAGGGGGGUCUGAUCUUUUUAACUUUUUUUCUGCUUAGAAUUCUGGUUUGAGGAAGGAAACAAGGCUUGCUGAUCCAAACACCCCCUUUGGAAUUUCCUGUCCACAAGUUUGAGGUGGGACAGUGGAUCCUGAUCCGAAUGUGGAAGGAGGAGAAAUUGCAACCUAAAUGGGAAGAACCAUUCCAUGUGUUGCUGACCUCUGAAACUGCAGUUCGGACGAAAGAAAAAGGGUGGACUCAUACAUGAGUGAAGGGACCAGUAGCUGAACCAAAAGGACAGUGGACCUGUGUUCCGGGUGACGACUCGUUUAAAUUGAUACUGUGUAAAAUUCCUGUUUAAAUGUGUUGGUACUGUGCUGUAAAUGCCAUGUUGAUUGUUGUUGUUUCCAUUGUAUUGACUGUGUAAGAUGUACUGGAUGUGAAGAACAUUUUGGACCAUACGAUAUAGUACUCAUUAAAAAGAAAUUGAAACCUUUUGAGGAAUAUACUGAGACAUUGACUGGAGUGGUAAGAUAUACUCUAAAAGAUACUCCUUCAAUCCAAUUAGUCCAGGAAGAACAACGAGAAGCCUUCAUAAAAUAUCACAGUUUAGAAGAAGAUUAAUAUAAAAUAUAAUUAAUAUAAAUUAAUAUAAAAUGCGAA